This 683-nucleotide ribosomal RNA is filed under the name uncultured bacterium. RNAcentral's name for it is "bacterial SSU rRNA". It matches the Rfam family "Bacterial small subunit ribosomal RNA", at positions 122 to 823 of the family's 1533-position model. The record is from RNAcentral.
AAACCUGCCCUGUACCGGGGGAUAACACUUAGAAAUAGGUGCUAAUACCGCAUAAGCGCACAGCUUCACAUGAGGCAGUGUGAAAAACUCCGGUGGUACAGGAUGGUCCCGCGUCUGAUUAGCCAGUUGGCAGGGUAACGGCCUACCAAAGCGACGAUCAGUAGCCGGCCUGAGUGGGUGAACGGCCACAUUGGGACUGAGACACGGCCCAAACUCCUACGGGAGGCAGCAGUGGGGAAUAUUGCACAAUGGGGGAAACCCUGAUGCAGCGACGCCGCGUGAGUGAAGAAGUAUUUCGGUAUGUAAAGCUCUAUCAGCAGGGAAGAAAAUGACGGUACCUGACUAAGAAGCCCCGGCUAACUACGUGCCAGCAGCCGCGGUAAUACGUAGGGGGCAAGCGUUAUCCGGAUUUACUGGGUGUAAAGGGAGCGUAGACGGCAUGACAAGCCAGAUGUGAAAACCCAGGGCUCAACCCUGGGACUGCAUUUGGAACUGCCAGGCUGGAGUGCAGGAGAGGUAAGCGGAAUUCCUAGUGUAGCGGUGAAAUGCGUAGAUAUUAGGAGGAACACCAGUGGCGAAGGCGGCUUACUGGACUGUAACUGACGUUGAGGCUCGAAAGCGUGGGGAGCAAACAGGAUUAGAUACCCUGGUAGUCCACGCGGUAAACGAUGAUUGCUAGGUGU